RNAcentral lists this ribosomal RNA (433 nucleotides) under uncultured bacterium. RNAcentral describes it as "partial 16S ribosomal RNA". It matches the Rfam family "Bacterial small subunit ribosomal RNA", at positions 29 to 507 of the family's 1533-position model. The record is from RNAcentral.
AACGAACGCUGGCGGCAUGCCUAACACAUGCAAGUCGAACGAGACCUUCGGGUCUAGUGGCGCACGUGUGCGUAACGCGUGGGAACCUACCCUUAGGUUCGGAAUAACUCCCCGAAAGGUGUGCUAAUACCGGAUAAUGUCUUCGGACCAAAGAUUUAUCGCCUUUGGAUGGGGCCGCGUUGGAUUAGUUAGUUGGUAGGGUAAACGCCUACCAAGGCGACGAUCCAUGGCUGGUCUGAGAGGAUGAUCAGCCACAAUGGGACUGAGACACGGCCCAGACUGCUACGGGAGGCAGCAGUGGGGAAUAUUGGACAAGGGGCGAAAGCCUGAUACAGCAAUGCCGCGUGAGUGAUGAAGGCCUUAGGGUUGUAAAGCUGUUUUACCCGGGAUGAUAAUGACGGUACCGGGAGAAUAAGCUCCGGCUAACUCCGUG